RNAcentral lists this ribosomal RNA (442 nucleotides) under uncultured bacterium. RNAcentral's name for it is "partial 16S ribosomal RNA". It matches the Rfam family "Bacterial small subunit ribosomal RNA", at positions 338 to 795 of the family's 1533-position model. The record is from RNAcentral.
CCUACGGGGGGCAGCAGUGGGGAAUAUUGGGCAAUGGGCGCAAGCCUGACCCAGCAACGCCGCGUGAAGGCAGAAGGCUUUCGGGUUGUAAACUUCUUUUAAGGGGGAAGAGCAGAAGACGGUACCCCUUGAAUAAGCCACGGCUAACUCCGUGCCAGCAGCCGCGGUAAUACGUAGGUGGCAAGCGUUGUCCGGAUUUACUGGGUGUAAAGGGCGUGCAGCCGGAGAGACAAGUCAGAUGUGAAAUCCACGGGCUCAACCCGUGAACUGCAUGUGAAACUGUGUCCCUUGAGUGUCGGAGAGGUAAUCGGAAUUCCUUGUGUAGCGGUGAAAUGCGUAGAUAUAAGGAAGAACACCAGUGGCGAAGGCGGAUUACUGGACGAUAACUGACGGUGAGGCGCGAAAGCGUGGGGAGCAAACAGGAUUAGAUACCCGGGUAGUC